Molecule: ribosomal RNA, 468 nt
Filed under: uncultured bacterium
Lineage: Bacteria
Description: partial 16S ribosomal RNA
Rfam family: Bacterial small subunit ribosomal RNA
Source: RNAcentral
GAUGAACGCUGGCGGCGUGCUUAACACAUGCAAGUCGAACGGAAAGGCCCAAGCUUGCUUGGGUACUCGAGUGGCGAACGGGUGAGUAACACGUGGGUGAUCUGCCCUGCACUUCGGGAUAAGCCUGGGAAACUGGGUCUAAUACCGGAUAGGACGAUGGUUUGGAUGCCAUUGUGGAAAGUUUUUUCGGUGUGGGAUGAGCUCGCGGCCUAUCAGCUUGUUGGUGGGGUAAUGGCCUACCAAGGCGUCGACGGGUAGCCGGCCUGAGAGGGUGUACGGCCACAUUGGGGCUGAGAUACGGCCCAGACUCCUACGGGAGGCAGCAGUGGGGAAUAUUGCACAAUGGGAGCAAGCAUGAUGCAGCGACGCCGCGUGGGGGAUGACGGCCUUCGGGUUGUAAACUCCUUUCGCUAGGGACGAAGCGAUUUUGUGACGGUACCUGGAGAAGAAGCACCGGCUAACUACGUG